RNAcentral lists this ribosomal RNA (246 nucleotides) under Capra hircus (goat). Its description in RNAcentral is "partial 12S ribosomal RNA". The record is from RNAcentral. Lineage: Eukaryota; Metazoa; Chordata; Mammalia; Artiodactyla; Bovidae.
CAACAGACUUACACAUGCAAGCAUCCACGCCCCGGUGAGUAACGCCCUCCAAAUCAAUAAGACUAAGAGGAGCAGGUAUCAAGCACACAUCUUGUAGCUUACAACGCCUCGCUUAACCACACCCCUACGGGAGACAGCAGUGACAAAAAUUAAGCCAUAAACGAAAGUUUGACUAAGCCAUGUUGACCAGGGUUGGUAAAUCUCGUGCCAGCCACCGCGGUCAUACGAUUAACCCAAGCUAACAGG